AUAGCGUAUAUUAAAGUUGUUGCAGUUAAAAAGCUCGUAGUUGAACUUCAGACCUGGCUGGAUGGUCUGCCUAACGGUAUGUACUGUCCGGCUGGGCCUUACCUCUUGGUGAGCCGGCAUGCCCUUCACUGGGUGUGUCGGGGAACCAGGACUUUUACCUUGAGAAAAUUAGAGUGCUCAAAGCAGGCUUAUGCUCGAAUAAAUUAGCAUGGAAUAAUAAAAUAGGACGUGCGGUUAUAUUUUGUUGGUUUAUAGAGUCGUAGUAAUGAUUAAUAGGGAUAGUUGGGGGAAUUAGUAUUAAGUUGAUAGAGGUGAAAUUCUUGGAUUUAAUGAAGACUAAAUAAUG
Molecule: ribosomal RNA, 346 nt
Filed under: uncultured eukaryote
Lineage: Eukaryota
Description: SSU rRNA
Rfam family: Eukaryotic small subunit ribosomal RNA
Source: RNAcentral